GGGAGNAGGUGUACGAGGUCUCCUUAGUNAUGUGGGCAAUCUGCCCUGCACUCUGGGACAAGCCCUGGAAACGGGGUCUAAUACCGGAUAUGACUGUCCGCCGCANGGNGGANGGNANAAAGCCCGCCCGGCAGGANGAGCCCGCGGCCACAGCAGGGGGGAGGAGGGCCACCAACGCGACGACGCGAGCCGGCCGAGAGGGCCACCGGCCACACGGAANGAGACACGGCCCAGACCCCGAAGGGAGGCAGCAGGGAGGAAUAGCAAAAUGGGCGAAAGCCUGAGCAGCGACGCCGCGUGAGGGAUGACGGCCCGGGGUAAACCUCUUUCAGCAGGGAAGAAGCGAAAGUGACGGUACCUGCAGAAGAAGCGCCGGCUAACUACGUGCCAGCAGCCGCGGUAAUACGUAGGGCGCAAGCGGUCCGGAAUUAUUGGGCGUAAAGAGCUCGUAGGCGGCUUGUCACGUCGGUUGUGAAAGCCCGGGGCUUAACCCCGGGUCUGCAGUCGAUACGGGCAGGCUAGAGUUCGGUAGGGGAGAUCGGAAUUCCUGGUGUAGCGGUGAAAUGCGCAGAUAUCAGGAGGAACACCGGUGGCGAAGGCGGAUCUCUGGGCCGAUACUGACGCUGAGGAGCGAAAGCGUGGGGAGCGAACAGGAUUAGAUACCCUGGUAGUCCACGCCGUAAACGGUGGGCACUAGGUGUGGGCAACAUUCCACGUUGUCCGUGCCGCAGCUAACGCAUUAAGUGCCCCGCCUGGGGAGUACGGCCGCAAGGCUAAAACUCAAGGAAUUGACGGGGGCCCGCACAAGCGGCGGAGCAUGUGGCUUAAUUCGACGCAACGCGAAGAACCUUACCAAGGCUUGACAUACACCGGAAANCUCCGGAGACGGGGCCCCCCNUGUGUCGGUGUACAGGUGGGCAUGGCUGUCGUCAGCUCGUGUCGGAGAUGUUGGGUUAAGUCCCGCAACAAGCGCAACCCUUGUCCCGUGCCAGCAGGCCCGGGGGCGGGGAACACCGGAGACACCCGCGGCAAACCGAGGAAAGGGGGGACGACGACAAGCACAGCCCCCAGUCUGGGCGCACACGGCACAAGCGACGGACAGAGCGCGACACCGCGAGGGGAGCGAANCNAAAAAAAAAGGCCAGCGGAGGGACGCAACCGACCCAAGAAGUCGGAGUCGCUAGUAAUCGCAGAUCAGCAUUGCUGCGGUGAAUACGUUCCCGGGCUUGUACCCACCAACCAGUACGUCAUAAAAUUCCUCAAUAAUCCUCCCNACC
This 1277-nucleotide ribosomal RNA is filed under the name Streptomyces sp. MHM38. Its description in RNAcentral is "bacterial SSU rRNA". It matches the Rfam family "Bacterial small subunit ribosomal RNA", at positions 90 to 1440 of the family's 1533-position model. Lineage: Bacteria; Bacillati; Actinomycetota; Actinomycetes; Kitasatosporales; Streptomycetaceae. The record is from RNAcentral.